AGCCCGAGUGGUGAUCACUAUUAUUGGGUUUAAAGGGUCCGUAGCCGGUUUAAUCAGUCUUCUGGGAAAUCUAAUCGCUUAACUAUUAGGCUUCCAGGGGAUACUGUUAGACUUGGGACCGGGAGAGGUAAGAGGUACUGCAGGGGUAGGAGUGAAAUCUUGUAAUCCCUGUGAGACCACCAGUGGCGAAGGCGUCUUACCAGAACGGGUCCGACGGUGAGGGACGAAAGCUGGGGGCACGAACCGGAUUAGAUACCCGGGUAGUCCCAGCUGUAAACGAUGCUCGUUAGGUGUCAGGAACGGUGCGACUGUUUCUGGUGCCGAAGGGAAGCCGUGAAACGAGCCACCUGGGAAGUACGGCCGCAAGGCUGAAACUUAAAGGAAUUGGCGGGGGAGCACUACAACGGGUGGAGCCUGCGGUUUAAUUGGACUCAACGCCGGAAAACUCACCGGGGGCGACAGCAAUAUGUAGGUCAGGUUAAAGGUCUUACCUGAAUCGCUGAGAGGAGGCGCAUGGCCGUCGUCAGUUCGUACUGUGAAGCAUCCUGUUAAGUCAGGCAACGAGCAAGACCCGUGCCCACUGUUACCAGCAUAUCCUUUAUGGAUGAUGGGGACUCUGUGGGGACCGCUGCUGCUAAAGCAGAGGAAGGUGCGGGCUACGGUAGGUCAGUAUGCCCCGAAUCUCCCGGGCUACACGCGGGCUACAAUGGUUGGGACAAUGGGUAUCUACUCCGAGAGGAGUUGGCAAUCUCUUAAACCCAAUCGUAGUUCGAAUUGAGGGCUGUAACUCGCCCUCAUGAAGCUGGAAUCCGUAGUAAUCGCGUUUCAACAUAGCGCGGU
RNAcentral lists this ribosomal RNA (840 nucleotides) under uncultured archaeon. Its description in RNAcentral is "bacterial SSU rRNA". It matches the Rfam family "Archaeal small subunit ribosomal RNA", at positions 481 to 1319 of the family's 1478-position model. The record is from RNAcentral.